AUGGCUUUUGUGGGGAUGGAUCCCGUUUUCGCCGCCGCUGAAUCCGCUAGAGUGGCGAACCAAGAUCCAGCGAGCGAGGUUUCGCCAGAUGAGUUGGACAGCGAUGGCGAUUGUUCUGGUGGUGAUGGUGGAUCCAGCGGUCCACCAGGAACACCAGCAAUUACGUCUAGAUUAUCUUUACUCAAGCUAGGUUCUGUUAUUAGCAAAUUUUCAGAUUUCAAGAAACAACUAGUCAGAGAAAUAGGAUUCGACGGGUUGCUUCAUAUUAAGUCAUGGCAAAAGAUAAAUCUUAAGUACAGCGCUUACCUCAUGGAUAGAGUACAUGUUGACAACAGCGUGAUCAACCUGGAAGGCCAGGGCAUGCUUGAGCUUACAGAUGAGUCAGUUCACUCUGUUUUUGCAAUACCACGCGGUGAGCUAGCAAUUGGUCCAGAAGGUGUCGAACCGUCUGAAGCUUGCAUUGAGUAUACACGUUUCGCAGCUAGCAUCAAUGACAAAGGCACACACAGCUUGAAGGCAGCAGAGGCAUACCUGAUGCGGGACAUCGCCGCCAACUCUAGAAAAAUUGACAUGGAUUGUUUCAAAAUUGCAUUCGUCAUCUUCGUAAUUGGCCAUGUUCUUGCUCCAUCAGCCAAACAUGAUUACGUAACAAUAGAUUUCUGGGCUGCCUUGAGUGAUGUUGACAAAAUCCGAACAUGGAACUGGUGUAGCUACAUUUUGAAACAUCUGUUCAAUGCUGUAAGGAAAUUCAAGUCAGAUGUCAUUAAACGAAAUCCAACAAUCCACAUUGUCGGCUGCCAUCUGUUCCUACAGGUGUUUGUGCUUGACAGCCUCGAGCUUGGCCAACUGAACAAACCACGCGGAAUGUACCCAAGGAUAGCGCUUUUUGAGCACGAGUCGAUGAAGAAGAUGAUUGAUAUCACAUCAGUAAACAUGGGUGGAGGAGAAAUAUCAUUUCACGGGGCAUCGGUCAAGGCUGAACAAAACAUCAGCAAAGGUAUUGUCUGCGCAUCAACCGAGCUUGCAAAUGAAAACAUUCCGAGGCAUUCUAAUACGACGAAACGAGUCCAGAUGCCAUCUGCGCCUAUUUUAAGAGCUACUUACAAUAAAAUUGGUCCACAAGAUUUUUCAAACCACAUACGUACAAACUAUCCAUCAAUAUCCGAUGAGAAGCUCGGGAUACUUCUCCGUGAGCACAAUGCUCGAGGUCUGGCAAACAUUUCAGAGAUGAGGCGGUCUUUCCAGUCAUCAAUGUUCACAUUUGCGGACAAGCUCAUCAACUGCAUCGCUGAGAAUUGUUCUUGUUGCAAGGCCAACGGACGUAAACAAUGCAUCCUGAAGAGUGAAAAUCAAAACAGUUGCACCAACUUGGCCAACACUCCUAUGCAAGAAAAAAUAGACAAUUCGUUUGUUACCCCUGUUUGCAACAAGGUUUCUCCCAGGCUGGCUGGACAACUCCCAAACGACGUUUUGAGAAUCAUUUCCGACGCAGGUAGCUCGUCGGCCAAUAGCUCCAUUGCAAGGAAGAGGGGAGUUGUGUUCAGCCCGGCCAUCCAGACGGAAUCAUCAAAAAAGGUGUGUCUUCGGCUGGACGACCCACUCCAAGCAGUUUCCCAUUCAGCAGUAGAUACUGUCAACAACUCAUCUCUGUCUGGGAAGCAAGACACUCGCCGAGAGGUUGCCAAUACGAUUUAUUCAUUCUUUGAUGACCUGACUGCUAGCAUAGUCAUGUACUAUGUCGAGCAACGACCGAGCUCUGGAUAUGUUACAUUCGGAACUACAAACGACACCGCGCCAGCCAAAAUUCAGAUAACAAAGUGCAACAUCGCCCGCGACCCAUGGGCAAUCGGUUCAGUUCCGAUGCCACCGGCAGUCCCAGUCCUUAGAGCCAUAAAAGAUUGGUUGGCUGUGUCAUCCACGUUCGUCCUUGAAAGGAAAUGGAUUAUGCAUCCAAAACCAAGACUCAUACUGCUCGACGGCAUUGAAAUCCAACAACAACUAUCAGGAAAAGAACAGCUUAGUCAUGAGAUGUGUGCUGUUAUUUUUAGGAGGCUUUCACAAAUGGACAAGACCUAUUCGAAGGACACUUUGACUAUGUUUUGGAGGAAGUUUCUUGAGCCUGAUUUCGGCACUGCAGUUUUAUCCAAUGCCGAUCCAUUGACCAUUCAGUCGAUCCGUGCAACAUUUACAGAAGAAAACGAGUUUUUUAGCCCAGCCUCUAGUCGGAUGUGGCAUAUACCUGCACUCCUACCGGACGGAUGGGCCGUCUACGCAUUCGACAUGGCCAAGCGAAGGAUUUUAGUACUAGACCCGGCCGUCGGCCCAUUUGGUUUUAGCAAUAGAAGGAUCAACAUGCACACAUAUGUGUCUGACCUGCUUCACGCUGCACUCUUCAGAUGCAUCCAAUCUUUAUAUGAUUCCUGGCACUGCAGUUCCGGAGAAUGGACCCGUGCAUUUCCUGUGAUCAUGUUAGAGAACAUUGAAAAGGAAGACUAUGGCGUGUGUGCUUCGUUUUUUGCCAGGAAUUAUGAUGGUGACAAACUCUAG
This 2547-nucleotide ribosomal RNA is filed under the name Triticum aestivum (bread wheat). Its description in RNAcentral is "partial small subunit ribosomal RNA". Lineage: Eukaryota; Viridiplantae; Streptophyta; Magnoliopsida; Poales; Poaceae. The record is from RNAcentral.